AUUACCGCGGCUGCUGGCACGAAAGUUAGCCGUCCCUUCCUCUUCUGGUACUAUCAAUCAUGUUUGCUAUUAACAACCAUGCCUUACUCCCAGAUGACAGGAGUUUACAAUCCGAAGACCGUCAUCCUCCACGCGGCGUUGCACCAUCAGGGUUGCCCCCAUUGUGAAUUAUUCUCGACUGCUGCCACCCGUAGGUGUCUGGACCGUGUCUCAGUUCCAGUGUGCCUGAUCGUCCUCUCAGACCAGGUACCCGUCGUAGCCUUGGUGAGCCGUUACCUCACCAACAAGCUGAUAGGGCGCGAACCAAUCCUUCAGCGACAGCCUUGCGGCCACCUUUAAUCUUGCGAUACCAUGGGGUAUUAAUCCAAGUUUCCCUGGGCUAUUCCCCACUGAAGGGCAUGUAAUUCACGUGUUACUCACCCGUGCGCCACUAGACCAAUCGAGUAUUACUACCAAUUGAUCCNGUGCNACUUGCAUGUCUUAAACACGCCGCNNGCGUUCGUUCUGGCCAG
This 512-nucleotide ribosomal RNA is filed under the name uncultured Verrucomicrobiales ESR 25. RNAcentral's name for it is "partial 16S ribosomal RNA". Lineage: Bacteria; Pseudomonadati; Verrucomicrobiota; Verrucomicrobiia; Verrucomicrobiales. The record is from RNAcentral.